UAUACUAUAGGUAUUUAUGUGUAUUUUAUGAGCCAUCUCACAAGCAAAAUUGCAACUCUGCUUUUUUCAGUUAGCGCUAAGGAGGAGGACCUGCAAGGCUUUCAGUCCCUACAAACCGAGAGCGCAAACUUCAUAACAACUAUGUCAUCAGAUGAGCAAAACAGCUCCAGUGACAAUGGUGGAAAAGUUUCCACUGAAAGCCCUGCUCGCUUGACUAUGGUUGUUAUCGGUUCUCCAGGGACAGAUUUGUUCCAUACGCCACAUGAGAAGCAGCACUCAAGUACAGUAAAUGCAACCACAACCACUGAUAAAGAUGCAAUUACCUUAAAUGGGCUGAGCUUUGUCUUAGCUUAUGGUACAGGUUCACGUUCCACGGAUGAGGACAGCACAGCAGCGAGGCCGUUACAGUCUGAUGGAGACCUCUCAUUGAUCUCCAAUGAUGAGGAGAGGCUACAUCCCUCAGCUGAGGCUGAAUUUAAGUCAAUGAUGAAUGACACUAUGGCGCCUGCUGCUCAUCUGUCCAGAGGCAGGGGAAAGAUGUCUGCUUUUUUUCACGCUUCGCUGGAAAGCGAGAAUCAAAGAGUCUUGGAGUCUAUUACUCCUUCGCCUGCAAAUGGCAUUCACAUGGUAUCGGCCACUGAUCCAGCAGUAAUUGAUAACCUUGGGGAGUCAAACAAGAGCGUGGAAAGAUGGGGCGAAAACAAGACUGAAAAUUGGACUCUGGAGUCUUUUAAAACUGAUGAUCCUCUGAAUCCUACUGAAGAGGUUUCUUUGAAUAAGAACCAUUCAACCAUUAUGCAUUUUACAGUUUUGCAGGGUUCAGGGCUUUUAACCACUGAGCUUGGUCAAAAUCCAAGAAAUGGAUCUGAGCAUGAGCCAAAAGAACAGAGGAAUCUGCUUUCACCAAGUUCACUCAUCCUUGAUACUCCAUUACAAGUGAAAUCAGCCAGCCAAGUAAUAGUUAAUAAAAUGGCAGAAAGCAACAAAAAUCCCAGCACCAAUGGACCCAAACCCUUCAGGGUGUCACUAAAGCAACCAGACUCAAUGUUUCUAUUCUCCGCUUCAAAGCUGACCCCUGCAAAGAAUCCAGACACAACCACGCUGAAUUCUUUUUCAAACAUGGUAACAGCUGCUGGCAAAAUGCACGUGACAAAACAAUUUGGGGCCUCACAGUUGAUAUCUGAUUCCAUGCAUAGAAUUGUCUCAGCGAGGGACGGACUAGAAAGCAAAUCAGUUUUUCACACCAAAUCAAGUAAAGAGCGUCAAAUUAAACCAACGUUCCAAACUUUACCAACAAGUUUCCUUCAUCGUCUGAAUAAAAGUGACCUUUCUUUGGCCGCUCAAAACUUUUCAUCUUUACUCAAAAUGUCACAUCUUUGUACCAAAGGAGCCAGAACAUCUAAUAUCUCUGUGAUGGAGAAACGUAACAGAAUGGAUGAUUUUCCAGUUUGGCUGAGUGAAUUGAUGGCCUUUAGUACUGCCUCAUUAACCAACGCUGAGGAAGCAACUACUGCGAGUGAUAAGCGAAUGUUCAUGAAACAGACUCAAAGUUCACUUGCUGCUCCUGGAACCCUUUCAAUUCAAGAAGAUGCUUCAAAACAGCUCGAUCAGUUUGAUGAAUUAUCUACAGAGGCGCCUCUUCCACCUCUGACAAAGCUUAAGAAUGUGUUUCAUAUAUUCAAAGUGAGCAAUCAUCAGCCUCGACAUUCUCUAAAUGAUUUUCCCUCAGAGAGAUUAAAGCCUUUUGUAUCGCUUCAAACUCAACCGAUUCCACCUUUGUUUACAUAUGCAACUGUGAGGAGAUUCACAAAUAUGGAAGACUUUACCAAACUUGACUCUGUGAACCAAAACCAAAAAGCCCCAUCUGACAUAUCGGAGAGGCCAAACAUGAUCUCAAACAUAUUAACAAGACACGAAAUAAUAAACACAACCACAAUCAACAAAAACAUAUCACAUUUUAGCAUUCCCCCAACACAUCAGACUCCUAACAACUACAUAUCCACAACAAAGUCCUUUAUUACAACAACUAUGUUUUUAAAACCCCGGGAGUCUUUUGCCAAAAUCUCUCAUGCAGUCCCACAAAAGAAGUCCUUUCUGCUAACAACAACCUUCAGUAAAUCACAAAAUACAGUGACAACAGUUUUAUCCAUCUCUAAGAAACGAUAUAGUGAGUAUGACUUUAUAAAUCACUCGAUGACAACUGGAAACAUUGGAUUGCCAUUAGAUGACAAACAACAUAAAAACCCAAGAGGGACUGUGACGCUUUCUUUGGGCAGCUACACAGUUAGCAGUAUCCCAUCAGUCCAGCAGCUCAUUGAAGCUCACCCUGGAGAGAAAUUCCUCACAGAAACACCGCAAUCACAAUCUGGACUUCAGAUUGAGUCAAACUUAAAGAAGAGAGAUGACACAGUUAAACCAACAACUCUGAAACACCAUGAUCAGAGCAGUCAUUCCGUUGCUGGCAUGAAUCAACCCUUGUUCACGUCAAUUUCGUACAGGAUUGUUUCAAAUCCAAUUCACACUACUGUUUCCCCUGUUGCUCUGUCAAAUACAGAGUUUAAACAACAUUUGACCUUCUCUGCUCUUCCGUCAGUAUCUAUUGAGCAGACAGUGGCGCAGAUAAAUGGACUUGACAAUAACAAAGAUUCGCUUCAUAUGUUUGUCAAUUUAUCAGAAGUUAAAGAGCAUCCUAAGAACAUGACAACCAGCCCAAUUUCUGCCAUCAGUAGGCACACAAUAGAAGGGGCCUUGAACACGUCACCCCUUGAAUCAUUCACUGGAACAACUUCACCAACUUUCCCUUUGGAUCUUAUACAUAUGCAGAAUGUGUUGCAUAAAGAGCAUGUGACUUUAGCUGAAAACCAGACUGAAUUUUUCUCAACAGUGAAUGAGCAUUCACAAACGACGCAAUCAAACUUUCCUUCUGAUGAAAUGUCCAGUUCAGACGCAACAGAAGAUGUACAAAAACACCUUGGGCGGGCUUCGCUGUCUGCUGUUACUGGGGAAAAGUUCUCUCCUAUUGUCCACACGGAUUUGAGUUUCUCAAGUACAGAGACACAAUCACUCCCCAAAGGUUCAUUACAGUCCAGGGAAGGGAGUGAAGAUAUUUCACAUGGCACUGGUCCAUUUGCUGGAAGUGACUCAGGGGUAUCUGCUAAGUUCAUGUCAGAACUGCCAGUGAUAAACAGGAAGAGGAGGAUUAUAUCACCCGAUUCUCUCAGUGGUCUGGCGCAAAUCUCAGAUGAUAUCUGCGGCACUGGCAACUACACAGCAGAGAUGAGUCUGAACUUGGAGAGAGAUAUCAUGCCCGGAGAUCUCAUCCCUGCCCUCGGAAACCUACGCGUCGUCAUCAGCCUCAAAACAAAUAACAGCCAGGUGAACCUAGAGAUAAAAUCCUGCUGCCUCUCGCCCACCGUCAGACUUGAUGAAUUUAACACCACCUGCUGCAUUUUUUCCAGCAGUGCGUUCAGAGUCGAAAUGCGCAUCUCAGAGAGGAAGCAGGGGCCAUCUUCAGCAGCACGGGAAACCGCAUUUCUUUCGGCCCUGUUUUGAAAGAAGCAGACAAUUCAUCAUUCUCUGAAACAGCAGGUAACUUAUUACCAACUUUAUUACCUUAUUACAAUAUUUCAGCCGAACUGUCGGUCUGAUUUGGUUUGUUAAUGCUGUACAGAUGACACUGAAGCCCUGGUGGUGAUUAUCAGCUCAGUGGCCAGCUGUUUGCUGGCAUGUUUGGCUCUCUUUCUUGUCUGGAUGGCAAACAGACGUUGUCUGCAAAGGUCUGCCCACUGCUGGUCCAGGGCCCUUUGUGAAUGCUAACAGAACAGCGCUCACUGCAAACCAGCCAACUGGACUGAAAUCUGCAUUGAGCAUUGAAUCAUUAUCUGACAGUUUUUGAAUUGCUCAUCAUUAUGUUUAGUUAGGUGCAGUCAGAUUUACCUUGGUUCCGCAAAUUUUCACCAAAAAAAAAAGAAAAUCAAUAAUUUUUGUGAAUUCCAUGUGAGGGCAUAUGUUUUCGCAGUGGGUUCAAGUUGAUCACACAGACUGCCUAAAAGUAAGCUUGGUUUGAAAGUGACUUCUGUGUGAGUUGUACUGUAUACAUUCCCACACUAUUGAUGAUGUACUGUGACUGUAGACACUAGAGGCAAAAACACUCAUGUCGUGCAUGGCAUAUUUAAACAUACCAUUUCAGAAAACCUAAUACAAAAAAUGUUUGUAAUUUCUAAUGUAAUCAAUCAACUGGGUAAGUAUGGUAAUAUCUGUUAGUUAUUUGCUUUUACCCUAUUCACUCGGGGUGAAAAUAAAAUACAUUUUGAAGAAUAAUUGUGAAAGUCC
Long non-coding RNA from Cyprinus carpio (common carp), 4332 nucleotides. The record is from Ensembl. Lineage: Eukaryota; Metazoa; Chordata; Actinopteri; Cypriniformes; Cyprinidae.